RNAcentral lists this ribosomal RNA (274 nucleotides) under uncultured bacterium. RNAcentral describes it as "partial 16S ribosomal RNA". It matches the Rfam family "Archaeal small subunit ribosomal RNA", at positions 473 to 747 of the family's 1478-position model. The record is from RNAcentral.
AAACCAGCACCUCAAGUGGUCAGGAGGAUUAUUGGGCCUAAAGCAUCCGUAGCCUGUUCUGUAAGUUUUCGGUUAAAUCCAUUAGCUCAACUAAUGGGCCGCCGAAAAUACUGUAGAACUAGGGAGUGGGAGAGGUAGACGGUAUUCGGUAGGAAGGGGUAAAAUCCUUUGAUCUAUUGAGGACCACCUGUGGCGAAGGCGGUCUACCAGAACACGCUCGACGGUGAGGGAUGAAAGCUGGGGGAGCAAACCGGAUUAGAAACCCCUGUAGUCC